GUGCGUGUAAUUGUCGUGCGCGCAACAACUUAUCAAACCGACGACGAUAUUCUCGGGGGGAGGUUCGAGAGAAGGAAACGUGUAUUCAACAUGAUUGUUUGAAUCCACUAGACACUGUGUAUAAAUCAACGUAAGUACGCCGUCAUCGAGUUAAGACACUCCGAUCAGUCAACACAGGGGAAGGACGAGUCAAUAUUAUGGAAUUACGUAAAAUUGCUAUUAUCCGAACGUCGAUCACACUCCGAUUUUCAAUAUUCCUUUUCCCAUUCGCAUCCUCUAUCACAAUUCCUGUCUCGUCGAUCCCACGAAAACCCUCGAAAAACACCGCACGGACCAGAAACAAGAACAACCAUAGACUUCAAGCGCCAGCGUACGAUCACCCGCGUCCGACCUUCUACGACUGACCCAUUGAUCGCGAACAUUCCGGUCAACGGUUCCCGAUCAACGUACCUGGUAGAGGAGCGGUGACGAACGCCUGGGCAGUAGUAACUAGCAACGACAGCACUAUGAACAAGGACCACGCGAGGAUGAUCAUCCUGGAUCGUAUCGAUCACUCAGCGACAACGAUACCGAUUCGAUCAGCUUGCUGGGGAUUGCUUCGACGACUUCUACCACGAUUCGGAGCACUUCUCCUCAAGUCCGCUUCGAUUUUGACUAUCGACCGUUCACGGUGUCUUCGCUGGGAACAGGUGCAACGAAGAAAAUAGGGAUACGUCACGGCGCGAGCACGUGUGUAACGUUUGACGUCGGUCGCAACUGAACUCUCCAGGUAAACCGAACUCCGGCACACUCGCGAACACGUUUCUCCCGAUAGAUCGCGGGUGGGGGAUCGUUGGAGGGCCGCCAGGCUCAGGACUCGGCUUCGCCGACU
Long non-coding RNA from Nomia melanderi (Alkali bee), 871 nucleotides. RefSeq lists it as uncharacterized. The record is from RefSeq and is a predicted model, not a curated record. Lineage: Eukaryota; Metazoa; Arthropoda; Insecta; Hymenoptera; Halictidae.